UUGAACGCUGGCGGUAGGCUUACACAUGCAAGUCGUGCGAGAAAGUACCUUCGGGUGCGAGUAGAGCGGCGGACGGGUGAGUAACGCGUAGGAAUCUACCUAGUAGAAGGGGAUAGCCCGGGGAAACUCGGAUUAAUACCGUAUACCUCCUUAGGGAGAAAGAGGGCUUAGCUUUGAUGCUCUCGCUAUUAGAUGAGCCUGCGUAAGAUUAGCUUGUUGGUGAGGUAAUGGCUCACCAAGGCGACGAUCUUUAGCUGGUCUGAGAGGACGAUCAGCCACAUUGGGACUGAGACACGGCCCAGACUCCUACGGGAGGCAGCAGUGGGGAAUAUUGGACAAUGGGCGCAAGCCUGAUCCAGCCAUACCGCGUGUGUGAAGAAGGCUUUCGGGUUGUAAAGCACUUUAAGUAAGGAGGAAAAGAUUGUAGUUAAUACCUGCAAUCCGUGACGUUACUUACAGAAUA
RNAcentral lists this ribosomal RNA (463 nucleotides) under uncultured Pseudomonadota bacterium. RNAcentral describes it as "bacterial SSU rRNA". It matches the Rfam family "Bacterial small subunit ribosomal RNA", at positions 30 to 488 of the family's 1533-position model. Lineage: Bacteria; Pseudomonadati; Pseudomonadota. The record is from RNAcentral.